Mytilus californianus (California mussel) is the source of this 803-nucleotide long non-coding RNA. RefSeq lists it as uncharacterized. NCBI's taxonomy places the organism in Eukaryota, Metazoa, Mollusca, Bivalvia, Mytilida, Mytilidae. The transcript has 3 exons. The record is from RefSeq and is a predicted model, not a curated record.
AAUGCAUUGAAAAGCUCUAAAACACACACAAAACCCUUAAAAUAUGGUCAAAAACACAUAAUUCGGAAUUUGGGACAUGACCUUGACUUUUGACCUUAUGACCUUUGUCAAGGUCAUUGGUCCACGAUGUCAUAACAAAAGACCCCAUGGGUCUAGGACCUUUGGUUCAUGAGUUAAAGCUUAUUUUGUCUUUUCUAAAACAGUUAACAGGGGUUAUGCCCCUUACAGAUAGGUCAAAUCUCUUCGGUCAAAAUGUAAAAAAGUUGCGCCUUUAUGUCCCAAUUAUUUUUCACUAUUUACUGUUUCUGUAAGUAUUAUCGUUUUUGAGAUAUCCAAUAAAUAAGUUUUAAGGUCAAAGGUCAAGGUCAACCUCAAAAAGCUUUAAAACACACUAAAAAUCCUUUAGAUAAGGUCAAAAACACUUAAUUCGCUAUCUGGGACAUGACCUUGACCUUUGACCUUGUGACCUUUGUCAAGGUCAUUGGUCCCAAAUGUCAUUGUUGAAGACCCGAUUGAUCUAGGACCUUUAGUUAUAUAGUAAAAGCUGAUUUUGUCUUUUCAGAAACCUAAAACAGGGGUUAUGCCCCUUACAGAAAGGUCAAAUCUCUUCGGUCAAAAUGUAAAAAAGUUGCGGCUUUAUGACCCAAACAUUUUUCACUAUUUACUAUUUCUGUAAGAUUUACCGUUUUUGAGAUAUCAAAUAAAAAGUUGUAAGGUCAAAGGUCAAGGUCAACCUUAAAAAGCUUUAAAAGACACUAAAAAUCCCUUAAAUAAGGUCAAAAACACAUAAUUCGCUAUCUGGG